This is a long non-coding RNA of Meriones unguiculatus (Mongolian gerbil), 871 nucleotides long. RefSeq lists it as uncharacterized. Lineage: Eukaryota; Metazoa; Chordata; Mammalia; Rodentia; Muridae. The record is from RefSeq and is a predicted model, not a curated record. The transcript has 3 exons.
UUAACCUUUACAGGGGAGAGCAAAGUCACUAGCAUUCACUAGCAUGGGUCCUGGGUAAAUAUAGCCAGACACUCCUCUAUAGGAAGCGACUCCAGCUGAAGAACAAAGAGACAAUAAAGGGACCUCCAGCUGCUCUAAAGGGUGUUUCCGAACUCAAACAGCUGCUUCCGGAGUGUUAUUCUCACCUUCCCCAGCCUUUCAGCGGAAAUGUUUAUUGGCUCAUUCAGGAUGGAAGAUCUUCCCAGUUAGGCAAGUCGACGACGUAAAGACACAAUGGUGGGAGUUGGUGAAGCUUCCGCAGGAGCCCACCUCCAUUGGCAGCUGAGUUCAUCUGGGUGCAAGGAGAGCCGAGUGUCACACACACUGGGCCAGGUGCCUGGGAUUGAUCCUGCUCAUCCAUUCUGAAUUAUGUCAUUUCUGGUGCUGGAUUAACUUUUCCAAACUAAUAUUGAUGGCAGAGGUGUGUGGGGGUGUGGGAAGAUGUGUCGUCUGUCCAUCCGUUGUCCACCCCACCCCCAUAUACCCACACACACUCAUAUGCCUUCAUGCCUGGAGGACAGGACAAGAGGUCAGAAAGAAAGACACAGAGACUCCUGCCUGGAGUGGGCGAUGUUUGCAAUUGCCUGGCUCACCACUUACAAUCUGCCAGACACCCGUGAAGACAAGGCGGCUUCCUGUGACUCUCUCAGACCCUGGCUCUGGAAAGGUCCUCACAGCAAGAAAAAAAAAAAACCAAGAGACUCCUGGCCUAGAAGAACUUCCCUUUGGUUGCAUGGCUACUAUCCUGGGACUUGGGAGGCUAAGAAAAAAGGAUCGAGUUCAAAGCCAGACUGGGAUACUUAACAAGACUUUUAAAACAAAACACAAGCUA